GCCUAGUUAGCUCAGCGGUAGAGCAACCGGCUGUUAACCGGUAGGUCAAAGGUUCGAAUCCUUUACUGGGCGCCA
RNAcentral lists this transfer RNA (75 nucleotides) under Erysipelotrichaceae bacterium. Its description in RNAcentral is "tRNA-Asn". It matches the Rfam family "tRNA". Rfam says of the family: Transfer RNA (tRNA) molecules are approximately 80 nucleotides in length. Their secondary structure includes four short double-helical elements and three loops (D, anti-codon, and T loops). Lineage: Bacteria; Bacillati; Bacillota; Erysipelotrichia; Erysipelotrichales; Erysipelotrichaceae. The record is from RNAcentral.